AGAAGUAGAUAAUAAGAUGAAAUAUCUAAUAUGCACCAAAUAUAUUAGCAAACAGCGAAGAAUGAAUUUAGAGGGAGAGAGAGUCUUACAUAUAAGGAUUGAAAGAAAAUGUUUAGUUAAAAAUCUUCAGCUUUCAUUACUUCCCUACAAAACCUUUCCUACACUUACCAACCUGAUGAUAUAAAGGAAAAACGUAUUUUUUAAAUUUAGACUAACCAAUUUGGCAUUUGCACUGUAGAUUUGGUCUCCCAACAUAUCUAAUUCUUUAAUUUAGACUAAUUCACAAGAUGAAAGCAAGCCAAUAAAAUUAGUUUAUAUUUGACAGUGAACUUCAUUAAAACUUCAACUAACUAUACUCUUGCCAAUUUCUACUUAUCACUUUAACUAUAUUUGCAGAAAAAUGAAAAUUGAAACUGCUGAGUUCUUAUCUAAACUU
This 436-nucleotide unclassified non-coding RNA is filed under the name Hevea brasiliensis (rubber tree). The record is from RNAcentral. Lineage: Eukaryota; Viridiplantae; Streptophyta; Magnoliopsida; Malpighiales; Euphorbiaceae.